UACGUAGGGGGCAAGCGUUGUCCGGAAUCAUUGGGCGUAAAGCGCGUGUAGGCGGCUUGGUAAGUCUGCUCUGAAAUCCCACGGCUCAACCAUGGAAGUGCUUUCGAAACUGCUGAGCUUGAGUACGAAAGAGGAUCGCGGAAUUCCCGGUGUAGAGGUGAAAUUCGUAGAUAUCGGGAGGAACACCAGUGGCGAAGGCGGCGAUCUGGGUCGAUACUGACGCUGAGGUGCGAAAGCGUGGGGAGCAAACAGG
RNAcentral lists this ribosomal RNA (253 nucleotides) under uncultured bacterium. RNAcentral describes it as "partial 16S ribosomal RNA". It matches the Rfam family "Bacterial small subunit ribosomal RNA", at positions 524 to 776 of the family's 1533-position model. The record is from RNAcentral.